RNAcentral lists this ribosomal RNA (914 nucleotides) under uncultured archaeon. RNAcentral describes it as "bacterial SSU rRNA". It matches the Rfam family "Archaeal small subunit ribosomal RNA", at positions 1 to 922 of the family's 1478-position model. The record is from RNAcentral.
UUCCGGUUGAUCCUGCCGGACCUGACUGCUAUCGGAUUGAUACUAAGCCAUGCGAGUCAUUGUAGUAAUACAAGGCAGACGGCUCAGUAACGCGUAGUCAACCUACCCUAUGGACGGGGAUAACCUCGGGAAACUGAGAAUAAUACCCGAUAGAACAUUAUGCCUGGAAUGGUUUAUGUUUCAAAUAAUUUAUUGCCGUAGGAUGGGACUGCGGCCUAUCAGUUUGUUGGUGAGGUAAUGGCCCACCAAGACUAUUACAGGUACGGGCUCUGAGAGGAGUAGCCCGGAGAUGGGUACUGAGACACGGACCCAGGCCCUAUGGGGCGCAGCAGGCGAGAAAACUUUGCAAUGUGCGAAAGCACGACAAGGUUAAUCCGAGUGGUUUCUGCUAAAGGAACCUUUUGUCAGUCCUAGAAACACUGAUGAAUAAGGGGUGGGCAAGUUCUGGUGUCAGCCGCCGCGGUAAAACCAGCACCUCAAGUGGUCAGGAUGAUUAUUGGGCCUAAAGCAUCCGUAGCCUGCUUUGUAAGUUUUCGGUUAAAUCCAUACGCUCAACGUAUGGGCUGCCGGGAAUACUGCAAAGCUAGGGAGUGGGAGAGGUAGACGGUACUCGGUAGGAAGGGGUAAAAUCCUUUGAUCUAUUGAUGACCACCUGUGGCGAAGGCGGUCUACCAGAACACGUCCGACGGUGAGGGAUGAAAGCUGGGGGAGCAAACCGGAUUAGAUACCCGGGUAGUCCCAGCUGUAAACUAUGCAAACUCAGUGAUGCAUUGGCUUGAUGCCAAUGCAGUGCUGCAGGGAAGCCGUUAAGUUUGCCGCCUGGGAAGUACGUACGCAAGUAUGAAACUUAAAGGAAUUGGCGGGGGAGCACCACAAGGGGUGAAGCCUGCGGUUCAAUUGGACUCAACGCCGGU